This 1185-nucleotide long non-coding RNA is filed under the name Gadus morhua (Atlantic cod). RNAcentral describes it as "lncRNA (ENSGMOG00000022245.1)". Lineage: Eukaryota; Metazoa; Chordata; Actinopteri; Gadiformes; Gadidae. The record is from RNAcentral.
AUGAUUAUAAUAAAAAAUUCGAAUUAUUACGUAUGUCUUGUACCUAAAGACGCUGUGUUGUGGCUGUGUAUCUGGUACAGGGUUAAUAAACCGUAUUAUAACUUAAGUCUUGUACCUAAAGACGCUGUGUUGUGGCUGUGUAUCUGGGACAGGGUUAAUAAACCAUAUAGCUUAAGUCUUGUACCUAAAGACGCUGUGUUGUGGCUGUGUAUCUGGUACAGGGUUAAUAAACCGUAUUAUAACUUAAGUCUUGUACCUAAAGACGCUGUGUUGUGGCUGUGUAUCUGGGACAGGGUUAAUAAACCAUAUUAUAACUUUAGUCUUGUACCUAAAGACAGUGGGUUGUGGCUGUGUGUCUGGGACAGGGUUAAUAAACCGUAUUAUAACUUAAGUCUUGUACCUAAAGACGCUGUGUUGUGGCUGUGUGUCUGGGACAGGGUUAAUAAACCGUAUUAUAACUUAAGUCUUGUACCUAAAGACGCUGUGUUGUGGCUGUGUAUCUGGGACAGGGUUAAUAAACCGUAUUAUAACUUAAGUCUUGUACCUAAAGACGCUGUGUUGUGGCUGUGUAUCUGGUACAGGGUUAAUAAACCGUAUUAUAACUUAAGUCUUGUACCUAAAGACGCUGUGUUGUGGCUGUGUAUCUGGGACAGGGUUAAUAAACCGUAUUAUAACUUAAGUCUUGUACCUAAAGACGCUGUGUUGUGGCUGUGUGUCUGGGACAGGGUUAAUAAACCGUAUUAUAACUUAAGUCUUGUACCUAAAGACGCUGUGUUGUGGCUGUGUAUCUGGGACAGGGUUAAUAAACCAUAUUAUAACUUAAGUCUUGUACCUAAAGACAGUGGGUUGUGGCUGUGUGUCUGGGACAGGGUUAAUAAACCGUAUUAUAACUUAAGUCUUGUACCUAAAGACGCUGUGUUGUGGCUGUGUAUCUGGGACAGGGUUAAUAAACCGUAUUAUAACUUAAGUCUUGUACCUAAAGACAGUGGGUUGUGGCUGUGUGUCUGGGACAGGGUUAAUAAACCGUAUUAUAACUUAAGUCUUGUACCUAAAGACGCUGUGUUGUGGCUGUGUAUCUGGGACAGGGUUAAUAAACCGUAUUAUAACUUAAGUCUUGUACCUAAAGACGCUGUGUUGUGGCUGUGUAUCUGGGACAGGGGUGAGAGUGACGUAGGGCUCAUGUAA